GACGAACGCUGGCGGCGUGCUUAACACAUGCAAGUCGAACGGAAAGGCCCUGCUUGCAGGGUACUCGAGUGGCGAACGGGUGAGUAACACGUGGGUGAUCUGCCCUGCACUUCGGGAUAAGCCUGGGAAACUGGGUCUAAUACCGGAUAGGAGCCAUUUUUAGUGUGAUGGUUGGAAAGUUUUUUCGGUGUAGGAUGAGCUCGCGGCCUAUCAGCUUGUUGGUGGGGUAAUGGCCUACCAAGGCGGCGACGGGUAGCCGGCCUGAGAGGGUGGACGGCCACAUUGGGACUGAGAUACGGCCCAGACUCCUACGGGAGGCAGCAGUGGGGAAUAUUGCACAAUGGGCGCAAGCCUGAUGCAGCGACGCCGCGGGGGGGAUGACGGCCUUCGGGUUGAAAACUCAUUUCGCUAGGGACGAAGCUUUUUGUGACGGUACCUAGAUAAGAAGCACCGGCUAACUACGUG
This 465-nucleotide ribosomal RNA is filed under the name uncultured bacterium. RNAcentral describes it as "partial 16S ribosomal RNA". It matches the Rfam family "Bacterial small subunit ribosomal RNA", at positions 28 to 507 of the family's 1533-position model. The record is from RNAcentral.